RNAcentral lists this ribosomal RNA (253 nucleotides) under uncultured bacterium. RNAcentral describes it as "partial 16S ribosomal RNA". It matches the Rfam family "Bacterial small subunit ribosomal RNA", at positions 524 to 776 of the family's 1533-position model. The record is from RNAcentral.
UACGUAGGGUGCGAGCGUUAAUCGGAAUUACUGGGCGUAAAGCGUGCGCAGGCGGCGCGUUAAGACAGGUGUGAAAGCCCCGAGCUUAACUUGGGAAUUGCGCUUGUGACUGGCGUGCUGGAGUGUGGCAGAGGGAGGUGGAAUUCCACGUGUAGCAGUGAAAUGCGUAGAGAUGUGGAGGAACACCGAUGGCGAAGGCAGCCCCCUGGGUCAACACUGACGCUCAUGCACGAAAGCGUGGGGAGCAAACAGG